This 229-nucleotide ribosomal RNA is filed under the name uncultured bacterium. RNAcentral describes it as "partial 16S ribosomal RNA". It matches the Rfam family "Bacterial small subunit ribosomal RNA", at positions 568 to 796 of the family's 1533-position model. The record is from RNAcentral.
UCCGUAGGCGGGCUAAUAAGUCAGGGGUGAAAUCCCACAGCUUAACUGUGGAACUGCCUUUGAUACUGUUAGUCUUGAGUUAUAUGGAAGUAGAUGGAAUGUGUAGUGUAGCGGUGAAAUGCAUAGAUAUUACACAGAACACCGAUUGCGAAGGCAGUCUACUAAUUAUGUACUGACGCUAAUGGACGAAAGCGUGGGUAGCGAACAGGAUUAGAUACCCUGGUAGUCC